UUUAGGGGUUUCGAUACCCUUGGUGCCGAAGUUAACACAUUAAGCACUCCGCCUGGGGAGUACGGUCGCAAGACUGAAACUCAAAGGAAUUGACGGGGACCCGCACAAGCAGUGGAGUAUGUGGUUUAAUUCGAAGCAACGCGAAGAACCUUACCAGGUCUUGACAUCCCUCUGAUCGAUGCAGAGAAGUAUCUUUCCUUCGGGACAGAGGAGACAGGUGGUGCAUGGUUGUCGUCAGCUCGUGUCGUGAGAUGUUGGGUUAAGUCCCGCAACGAGCGCAACCCUUAUAUUUAGUUGCCAGCACUUCGGGUGGGCACUCUAGAUAGACUGCCGGUGACAAACCGGAGGAAGGUGGGGAUGACGUCAAAUCAUCAUGCCCCUUAUGACCUGGGCUACACACGUACUACAAUGGCCGGUACAACGGGCUGCGAAAUCGCGAGAUGGAGCCAAUCCCAACAAAGCCGGUCUCAGUUCGGAUUGCAGGCUGCAA
Molecule: ribosomal RNA, 490 nt
Filed under: Paenibacillus sp. IR48
Lineage: Bacteria; Bacillati; Bacillota; Bacilli; Caryophanales; Paenibacillaceae
Description: bacterial SSU rRNA
Rfam family: Bacterial small subunit ribosomal RNA
Source: RNAcentral